CAGCCACAUCAUAUUGAAACACCAGUUCAUGUAUGAUCACCAAAGUUAAGCAACAUCAAGUCCAGUUAGUAUCUAGAUGGGUGACCAACUGGGAAUACCAGGUAUUGUAAG
Non-coding RNA from Acanthosepion pharaonis, 111 nucleotides. Lineage: Eukaryota; Metazoa; Mollusca; Cephalopoda; Sepiida; Sepiidae. The record is from the annotation of a GenBank genome assembly.